Molecule: ribosomal RNA, 497 nt
Filed under: uncultured bacterium
Lineage: Bacteria
Description: partial 16S ribosomal RNA
Rfam family: Bacterial small subunit ribosomal RNA
Source: RNAcentral
GAUGAACGCUGGCGGCGUGCCUAAUACAUGCAAGUCGAGCGAACAGACGCGGAGCUUGCUCCUCUGACGUUAGCCGCGGACGGGUGAGUAACACGUGGAUAACCUACCUAUAUGACUGGUAUAACUUCGGGAAACCGGCGCUAAUACCGUAUAAUCUAUUGAACCGCAUGGUUCAAUAGUGAAAUACGGCUUUUCUGUCACUUCUAGAUGGAUACGAGCCGGAUUAGGUAGUUGGUAAGGUAACGGCUUAUGAAGGCGACUAUUCGUAGGCGACCUGAUAGAGUGAUAGCCCACACUGGAACUUAAACACAGUCAAGACUACUACGGGACGCAGCAGUAUGCAAUCUUCCGCAAUAGUCGAAAGCCUUACAGAACAACGCCAAGUGAGUUAUGAAAAUCUUCCGAUCGUAAAACACUGUUAUUAGGUAAAAACAAAUUUCUAAUUAAAUAUACACUUAUUGACGGUAACUAAUCAAAAAGCAACGGCUAACUACGUG